GACGAACGCUGGCGGCGUGCUUAACACAUGCAAGUCGAACGGUGAUGCUCCAGCUUGCUGGAGUGGAUCAGUGGCGAACGGGUGAGUAACACGUGAGCAACCUGCCCCAGACUCUGGAAUAAGCGCUGGAAACGGCGUCUAAUACUGGAUACGAAACUGGCCCGCAUGGGCAUGGUUUGGAAAGUUUUUCGGUUUGGGAUGGGCUCGCGGCCUAUCAGCUUGUUGGUGAGGUAAUGGCUCACCAAGGCGACGACGGGUAGCCGGUCUGAGAGGGCGACCGGCCACACUGGGACUGAGACACGGCCCAGACUCCUACGGGAGGCAGCAGUGGGGAAUAUUGCACAAUGGGCGAAAGCCUGAUGCAGCGACGCCGCGUGAGGGAUGACGGCCUUCGGGUUGUAAACCUCUUUCAGCAGGGAAGAAGCGAAAGUGACGGUACCUGCAGAAGAAGCACCGGCUAACUACGUG
This 468-nucleotide ribosomal RNA is filed under the name uncultured bacterium. Its description in RNAcentral is "partial 16S ribosomal RNA". It matches the Rfam family "Bacterial small subunit ribosomal RNA", at positions 28 to 507 of the family's 1533-position model. The record is from RNAcentral.